Molecule: ribosomal RNA, 510 nt
Filed under: uncultured bacterium
Lineage: Bacteria
Description: partial 16S ribosomal RNA
Rfam family: Bacterial small subunit ribosomal RNA
Source: RNAcentral
GACGAACGCUGGCGGCGUGCUUAACACAUGCAAGUCGAACGAAGAGCGAUGGAAGCUUGCUUCUAUCACUCUUAGUGGCGAACGGGUGAGUAACGCGUAAUCAACCUGCCCUUCAGAGGGGGACAACAGUUGGAAACGACUGCUAAUACCGCAUACGAUCUAAUCUCGGCAUCGAGGAAAGAUGAAAGGUGGCCUCUAUUUAUAAGCUAUCACUGAAGGAGGGGAUUGCGUCUGAUUAGCUAGUUGGAGGGGUAACGGCCCACCAAGGCGAUGAUCAGUAGCCGGUCUGAGAGGAUGAACGGCCACAUUGGGACUGAGACACGGCCCAGACUCCUACGGGAGGCAGCAGUGGGGAAUCUUCCGCAAUGGACGAAAGUCUGACGGAGCAACGCCGCGUGAGUGAUGACGGCCUUCGGGUUGUAAAGCUCUGUUAAUCGGGACGAAAGGCCUUCUUGCGAACAGUUAGAAGGAUUAACGGUACCGGAAGAGAAAGCCACGGCUAACUACGUG